CCUACGGGAGGCAGCAGUGGGGAAUAUUGGGCAAUGGGCGCAAGCCUGACCCAGCAACGCCGCGUGAAGGAAGAAGGCUUUCGGGAUGUAAACUUCUUUUGUCAGGGACGAAGCAAGUGACGGUACCUGACGAAUAAGCCACGGCUAACUACGUGCCAGCAGCCGCGGUAAUACGUAGGUGGCAAGUGUUAUCCGGAUUUAUUGGGUGUACAGGGCGUGUAGGCGGGAAUGCAAGUGAGAUGUGAAAACUAUGGGCUCAACCCAUGGCCUGCAUUUGAAACUGUAUAUCUUGAGUGCUGGAGAGGCAAGCGGAAUGCGGGGUGUAGCGGUGAAAUGCGUAGAUAUACGGAGGAACACCGGUGGCGAAGGCGGAUUGCUGGACAGUAACUGACGCUGAGGCGCGAAAGCGUGGGGAGCAAACAGGAUUAGAUACCCGGGUAGUC
Molecule: ribosomal RNA, 443 nt
Filed under: uncultured bacterium
Lineage: Bacteria
Description: partial 16S ribosomal RNA
Rfam family: Bacterial small subunit ribosomal RNA
Source: RNAcentral